This 202-nucleotide unclassified non-coding RNA is filed under the name Hevea brasiliensis (rubber tree). The record is from RNAcentral. Lineage: Eukaryota; Viridiplantae; Streptophyta; Magnoliopsida; Malpighiales; Euphorbiaceae.
GUUGGUACUCCAUAAAACUAGUCCUUUACUUUUUCAUGUUCUAAUUCGCUUUCUAUAUCAUGCCGCUAAACCAAACCAAAUGUUAGAUGGAGCAGGAAUUAAAACCGAGUGCAAAGCUGUUCAAAGCAAAGCAAAAAAUUUAUACUGAUUCAAAAUUUCAUGUCAUAAACGAGGCCCACCUUUUAAACUGGGAAACAUUUCG